GACGAUUUCCAACAAGGUUUCACCAUUUUCAGGUAAUCACUUGACAUCAUAUAAUCAUAUAUAGUACUAUUUGACAUCCUUCUUUCGUCUUGUUUUUAUAAUAUCAUCCAAAUGAACCAGCAAUUAAUGUUAUAUUCAUCAAAAUCAAAUAAAAAACAAGAACCAAAUUUAAUAAUCUCAGUUCCAGGUUAUGAAACUCACGCUUCAAGACCGCAACAACAAUUCUUGAACAUAUAUAGGCUCUACGACAACCAGACACCAUUAAUAUGUACAAUUCUUAGAUGAAGACCAAAAGGGUAUGGGCUAAAUGAACUGAAAAACUUGUGUGGUUGUAUUCAAAAGACAAGAAAGCAAUAGUUUUUAUGUGAGUUCAGAGAAUAUGGAGGCUUGCUGGUGCUAUGUACCUUGAAUCUUGGUUAAAUGUGUUUGGUCCUCCACACUGUGCCAUCUCACAAGGAACAGACUUAGCUGUAAAAGAACAUAAAGAUCUGAUACAAGACAGAGUUUGGUCUGAGAUCAGAGAGAUGAUCAAAAGGGGAGCAAGGGCAAUGGAUAAGAAAAAAAAUAAUUUUGGAGCCUUUUGACAGACGAUCUUCAGUUUGUUGUCAGAUGAGAUCCAGGAUGGGAAAUAAUAAAGAGACUUAAUUUUACAAACUCUGACAUUGUUGUUGUUUUUUCAAUUUUUCUUUCUUGUGGCCGAGUGGGU
RNAcentral lists this long non-coding RNA (706 nucleotides) under Citrus x clementina. RNAcentral's name for it is "Citrus clementina (C. clementina) long non-coding RNA (CCLE_LNC001895)". Lineage: Eukaryota; Viridiplantae; Streptophyta; Magnoliopsida; Sapindales; Rutaceae. The record is from RNAcentral.